UCUGGGGCCAGUCUAGUGUGGGACGACACGGCCGACAUCACUCUCACCGUCAGCUACGUCCUGGUUAAGGGAGAGUUCCACGUCGGCAGCGACGAUUGUAGAUUCACCAAGAAAGGCAACGUCGUCCUUACAGGCCUCAGCAACUCGACAUUGAACGUUCCUGGUUUCGGCCGGAAGUUCAUCGGUGUGACGGCAGGGGGCGUUCUGGAGCUUCACGGCA
This is a long non-coding RNA of Haliotis rubra (blacklip abalone), 220 nucleotides long. RefSeq lists it as uncharacterized. The record is from RefSeq and is a predicted model, not a curated record. NCBI's taxonomy places the organism in Eukaryota, Metazoa, Mollusca, Gastropoda, Lepetellida, Haliotidae. The transcript has 2 exons.